This 271-nucleotide ribosomal RNA is filed under the name uncultured prokaryote. RNAcentral describes it as "partial 16S ribosomal RNA". It matches the Rfam family "Bacterial small subunit ribosomal RNA", at positions 524 to 794 of the family's 1533-position model. The record is from RNAcentral.
UACGGAGGGUGCAAGCGUUAUCCGGAAUCACUGGGCGUAAAGGGCGCGUAGGCGGCCUGUUAAGUCCGAUGUUAAAGACUGGGGCUCGACCCCAGCAUUGCGUUGGAUACUGGCAGUCUUGACGGUUGGAGAGGCGAGUGGAAUUACCAGUGUAGCGGUGAAAUGCGUAGAUACUGGUAGGAACACCCAUUGCGAAGGCAGCUCGCUGGACAACACGUGACGCUGAGGCGCGAAAGUGUGGGGAGCAAACCGGAUUAGAUACCCGGGUAGU